Molecule: ribosomal RNA, 118 nt
Organism: Cephalotus follicularis
Lineage: Eukaryota; Viridiplantae; Streptophyta; Magnoliopsida; Oxalidales; Cephalotaceae
Source: Rfam
GUGUACGAUCAUAUUAGUACUAAUGCAUCAGAUCCCAUUGGAACUCCGAAGUUAAGCGUGCUUGGACGAGAAUGGUACUAAGACAAGAUUUGUCGCAGGACUUCCACAGACAUAGGCU